This 305-nucleotide ribosomal RNA is filed under the name uncultured bacterium. RNAcentral's name for it is "bacterial SSU rRNA". It matches the Rfam family "Bacterial small subunit ribosomal RNA", at positions 333 to 655 of the family's 1533-position model. The record is from RNAcentral.
UACGCCCUACGGGGCGCAGCAGUGGGGGACAUUGCACAAUGGGGGAAACCCUGAUGCAGCGACGCCGCGUGGGUGAAGAAGCGCCUCGGCGCGUAAAGCCCUGUCAGCAGGGAAGAAAAUGACGGUACCUGAAGAAGAAGCCCCGGCUAACUACGUGCCAGCAGCCGCGGUAAUACGUAGGGGGCAAGCGUUAUCCGGAUUUACUGGGUGUAAAGGGGGCGCAGACGGCGAUGCAAGCCAGGAGUGAAAGCCCGGGGCCCAACCCCGGGACUACUCUUGGAACUGCGUGGCUAGAGUGCAGGAGG